AGUGCGGUAGGGGAGACUGGAAUUCCCGGUGUAACGGUGGAAUGUGUAGAUAUCGGGAAGAACACCAAUGGCGAAGGCAGGUCUCUGGGCCGUCACUGACGCUGAGGAGCGAAAGCGUGGGGAGCGAACAGGAUUAGAUACCCUGGUAGUCCACGCCGUAAACGGUGGAUGCUGGAUGUGGGGCCCUUUCCACGGGUCCCGUGUCGGAGCCAACGCGUUAAGCAUCCCGCCUGGGGAGUACGGCCGCAAGGCUAAAACUCAAAGAAAUUGACGGGGGCCCGCACAAGCGGCGGAGCAUGCGGAUUAAUUCGAUGCAACGCGAAGAACCUUACCUGGGCUUGACAUGUGCCGGAUCGCCCCGGAAACGGGGUUUCCCUUCGGGGCCGGUUCACAGGUGGUGCAUGGUCGUCGUCAGCUCGUGUCGUGAGAUGUUGGGUUAAGUCCCGCAACGAGCGCAACCCUCGCCGCAUGUUGCCAGCGGGUGAUGCCGGGAACUCAUGUGGGACCGCCGGGGUCAACUCGGAGGAAGGUGGGGAUGACGUCAGAUCAUCAUGCCCCUUACGUCCAGGGCUUCACGCAUGCUACAAUGGCCGGUACAACGCGAUGCGACACGGUGACGUGGGGCGGAUCGCUGAAAACCGGUCUCAGUUCGGAUCGCAGUCUGCAACUCGACUGCGUGAAGGCGGAGUCGCUAGUAAUCGCGGAUCAGCAACGCCGCGGUGAAUGCGUUCCCGGGCCUUGUACACACCGCCCGUCAAGUCAUGAAAGUGGGUAG
Molecule: ribosomal RNA, 775 nt
Filed under: Bifidobacterium animalis subsp. animalis
Lineage: Bacteria; Bacillati; Actinomycetota; Actinomycetes; Bifidobacteriales; Bifidobacteriaceae
Description: bacterial SSU rRNA
Rfam family: Bacterial small subunit ribosomal RNA
Source: RNAcentral